AGUGAACGCUGGCGGUAGGCCUAACACAUGCAAGUCGAGCGGCAGCACAGUAAGAGCUUGCUCUUACGGGUGGCGAGUGGCGGACGGGUGAGGAAUACAUCGGAAUCUACUUUUUCGUGGGGGAUAACGUAGGGAAACUUACGCUAAUACCGCAUACGACCUACGGGUGAAAGCAGGGGAUCUUCGGACCUUGCGCGAUUGAAUGAGCCGAUGUCGGAUUAGCUAGUUGGCGGGGUAAAGGCCCACCAAGGCGACGAUCCGUAGCUGGUCUGAGAGGAUGAUCAGCCACACUGGAACUGAGACACGGUCCAGACGCCUACGGGAGGCAGCAGUGGGGAAUAUUGGACAAUGGGCGCAAGCCUGAUCCAGCCAUACCGCGUGGGUGAAGAAGGCCUUCGGGUUGUAAAGCCCUUUUGUUGGGAAAGAAAAGCAGCAGGUUAAUACCCCGCUGUUCUGACGGUACCCAAAGAAUAAGCACCGGCUAACUUCGUG
RNAcentral lists this ribosomal RNA (492 nucleotides) under uncultured bacterium. RNAcentral's name for it is "partial 16S ribosomal RNA". It matches the Rfam family "Bacterial small subunit ribosomal RNA", at positions 29 to 507 of the family's 1533-position model. The record is from RNAcentral.